AACGAACGCUGGCGGCAGGCUUAACACAUGCAAGUCGAACGGGCACCUUCGGGUGUCAGUGGCAGACGGGUGAGUAACGCGUGGGAACGUACCCUUCGGUUCGGAAUAACCCAGGGAAACUUGGGCUAAUACCGGAUACGUCCGUAAGGAGAAAGAUUUAUUGCCGAAGGAUCGGCCCGCGUCGGAUUAGCUAGUUGGUGGGGUAAUGGCUCACCAAGGCGACGAUCAGUAGCUGGUCUGAGAGGAUGAUCAGCCACAUUGGGACUGAGACACGGCCCAAACUCCUACGGGAGGCAGCAGUGGGGAAUAUUGGACAAUGGGCGAAAGCCUGAUCCAGCCAUGCCGCGUGAGUGAUGAAGGCCUUAGGGUUGUAAAGCUCUUUUGCCCGGGAAGAUAAUGACGGUACCGGGAGAAUAAGCCCCGGCUAACUUCGUGCCAGCCGCCGC
Molecule: ribosomal RNA, 446 nt
Filed under: uncultured bacterium
Lineage: Bacteria
Description: bacterial SSU rRNA
Rfam family: Bacterial small subunit ribosomal RNA
Source: RNAcentral